Molecule: transfer RNA, 62 nt
Filed under: Aleurocanthus camelliae (camellia spiny whitefly)
Lineage: Eukaryota; Metazoa; Arthropoda; Insecta; Hemiptera; Aleyrodidae
Description: tRNA-Asp
Source: RNAcentral
GAAAACUUAGUUAAUGAAUAAUUUUGGUUUGUCGAGCUAAAGUGGCCUUCUGGCAGUUUUUA